Molecule: ribosomal RNA, 266 nt
Filed under: uncultured bacterium
Lineage: Bacteria
Description: partial 16S ribosomal RNA
Rfam family: Bacterial small subunit ribosomal RNA
Source: RNAcentral
CGACCGGCGCACGGGUGAGUAACACGUAUGAAACCUGCCCGUAGCAGGGGGAUAAGCGGAAGAAAUUCCGUCUAAUACCGCGUAACAACCCAUGGAGGCAUCUCUGUGGGUUUAAAGGAAGCGAUUCCGGCUACGGAUGGUCAUGCGUCGCAUUAGCUUGUUGGCGGGGUAACGGCCCACCAAGGCGACGAUGCGUAGGGGUUCUGAGAGGAAGGUCCCCCACAUUGGAACUGAGACACGGACCAGACUCCUACGGAAGGCAGCAG